RNAcentral lists this ribosomal RNA (412 nucleotides) under uncultured bacterium. RNAcentral describes it as "bacterial SSU rRNA". It matches the Rfam family "Bacterial small subunit ribosomal RNA", at positions 108 to 518 of the family's 1533-position model. The record is from RNAcentral.
GAGUAACACGUAUCCAACCUUCCCAUAACUCAGGGAUAGCCUUUCGAAAGAAAGAUUAAUACCUGAUAGUACUUUUUCAAGGCAUCUUGAAAAAGUUAAAGAUUUAUUGGUUAUGGAUGGGGAUGCGUUCCAUUAGAUAGUUGGUGAGGUAACGGCUCACCAAGUCUUCGAUGGAUAGGGGUUCUGAGAGGAAGGUCCCCCACAUUGGUACUGAGACACGGACCAAACUCCUACGGGAGGCAGCAGUGAGGAAUAUUGGUCAAUGGGCGAGAGCCUGAACCAGCCAAGUAGCGUGAAGGAUGAAGGUCCUAUGGAUUGUAAACUUCUUUUAUAGUAGAAUAAAGUGAGCCACGUGUGGUUUUUCGUAUGUAUACUAUGAAUAAGGAUCGGCUAACUCCGUGCCAGCAGCAGC